This 323-nucleotide ribosomal RNA is filed under the name uncultured bacterium. RNAcentral's name for it is "bacterial SSU rRNA". It matches the Rfam family "Bacterial small subunit ribosomal RNA", at positions 28 to 334 of the family's 1533-position model. The record is from RNAcentral.
GAUGAACGCUGGCGGCGUGCUUAACACAUGCAAGUCGAACGGAACUCAUUGGAUCAAGACUUCGGUCAAGUGAAUUUGAGUUUAGUGGCGGACGGGUGAGUAACGCGUGAGGAACCUGCCUCGGAGUGGGGAAUAACAGUUGGAAACGACUGCUAAUACCGCAUAAUGCAUAUUGAUCGCAUGGUCGAUAUGCCAAAGAUUUAUCGCUCUGAGAUGGCCUCGCGUCUGAUUAGCUAGUUGGCGGGGUAAUGGCCCACCAAGGCGACGAUCAGUAGCCGGACUGAGAGGUUGGCCGGCCACAUUGGGACUGAGACACGGCCCAG